RNAcentral lists this ribosomal RNA (503 nucleotides) under uncultured bacterium. RNAcentral describes it as "partial 16S ribosomal RNA". It matches the Rfam family "Bacterial small subunit ribosomal RNA", at positions 30 to 523 of the family's 1533-position model. The record is from RNAcentral.
AUUGAACGCUGGCGGCAGGCGUAACACAUGCAAGUCGAGCGGGGUGAUGGUGCUUGCACUAUCACUUAGCGGCGGACGGGUGAGUAAUGCUUAGGAAUCUGCCUAUUAGUGGGGGACAACAUCUCGAAAGGGAUGCUAAUACCGCAUACGUCCUACGGGAGAAAGCAGGGGAUCACUUGUGACCUUGCGCUAAUAGAUGAGCCUCAGUCGGAUUAGCUAGUUGGUGGGGUAAAGGCCUACAAAGGCGACGAUCUGUAGCGGGUCUGAGAGGAUGAUCCGCCACACUGGGACUGAGACACGGCCCAGACUCCUACGGGAGGCAGCAGUGGGGAAUAUUGGACAAUGGGGGGAACCCUGAUCCAGCCAUGCCGCGUGUGUGAAGAAGGCCUUAUGGUUGUAAAGCACUUUAAGCGAGGAGGAGGCUCUUUUGGUUAAUACCCAGAAUGAGUGGACGUUACUCGCAGAAUAAGCACCGGCUAACUCUGUGCCAGCAGCCGCCGUAA